This 2273-nucleotide ribosomal RNA is filed under the name Behningia sp. BYU IGCEP128. RNAcentral describes it as "partial 28S ribosomal RNA". It matches the Rfam family "Eukaryotic large subunit ribosomal RNA", at positions 72 to 1873 of the family's 3401-position model. The record is from RNAcentral. Lineage: Eukaryota; Metazoa; Arthropoda; Insecta; Ephemeroptera; Behningiidae.
GGAUUCCCCAAGUAACGGCGAGCGAAAGGGGAGGAGCCCAGCGCCCAAUCCCCCGGCGCUUUGGUGCCGGCGGGAAAUGUAGCGUAUAGGAGGGUCGAUUCUCCCGUGGCAUUGCGGCCGGUCCAAAUCCCUCUUGAAGGGGGUCACGGUCCCGAGAGGGUGCCAGGCCUGUGGGACGGUUGCGGGCUGCGGGAAGACCUCUCCUGUGAGUCGGGUUGCUUGAGAGUGCAGCCCUAAGACAGGUGGUAAACUCCAUCUAAGGCUAAAUACAACCACGAGACCGAUAGUAAACAAGUACCGUGAGGGAAAGUUGAAAAGAACUUUGAAGAGAGAGUUCAAGAGUACGUGAAACCGUUCUGGGGUAAACGGGUGGAGCCCUAACGCUCGAAAGGGGAGAUUCAGUAUCCCGUCCCAUCCACAGCACCGAUUUCCGGGAAGAGUUUGGCCGUUUUGGCGGCUGAACGACCCGUGUCUCGUUCUUGCUCGUGGUGGGGGGAGCGCACUUCUCCCUUAGUAGGACGUCGCGACCCGUUGGGUGUCAGUUUAAGACCUGGGUGCAAGCCCGUUGCUCUUUGUGGGUGAUGGAGCCUCAGGAAUCUGGCCGACUGCCCGACGGUGUUUAAAACGUUUUGUCUGCCCGCGAGCCUAGCAGCUCGCGCCCGUUCUCCUUGCGAGCGCUUGUUUGGACAUCGCUCAGCGGACUUGUUCCGCAGCGCACCAGCAGGCGUUGUCGGCGAAGAGAUUUCUCGGGCUGUGGCAGUCACGUUGGCGACGGAGAAAAAGGGUGGCCCACCCGGCCCGUCUUGAAACACGGACCAAGGAGUCUAACACGUAUGCGAGUCGUCGGGCCCCGCUACACCCGAAGGCGCAUUCAACGAAAAGGCUGGCACUUGUGGCUGGCUGAGGGAUGAUGGAGGUUUCUUUGGGAGCCUCCCGCAAUCCCGGGGCGUCUCGUCCUACUGCCGCUUGUCGGUUGAAGGUGAGGCGCACCAUGAGCAUACGCGUUGGUACCCGAAAGAUGGGUGAACUAUGCCUGGCCAGGAUGAAGUCAGGGGAAACCCUGAUGGAGGUCCGUAGCGAUUCUGACGUGCAAAUCGAUCGUCAGAGCUGGGUAUAGGGGCGAAAGACUAAUCGAACCAUCUAGUAGCUGGUUCCCUCSGAAGUUUCCCUCAGGAUAGCUGGCAUUCGGAGAUUCGAAUCCCAUCACGGCUAAACGCGAAUGAUUAGAGGCUGUGGGAUCAGAACACGAUUUCAACCUAUUCUCAAACUUUAAAUGGGUGGGAACCGCGGCUUGCUUGAAAGUGAAGCCGCGGAUCCGGAUCAGAGUGCCCAGUGGGCCACUUUUGGUAAGCAGAACUGGCGCUGUGGGAUGAACCAAACGCCGGGUUAAGGCGCCAAAAUCGACGCUCAUUCGACACCAUGAAAGGUGUUGGUUGCUUAAGACAGCAGGACGGUGGCCAUGGAAGUCGGAAUCCGCUAAGGAGUGUGUAACAACUCACCUGCCGAAGCAACUAGCCCUGAAAAUGGAUGGCGCUGAAGCGUCGUGCCUAUACCCGGCCGCCGGUGGCAGGAGGUGGUCACCCUUGGGUGAUCACCACCAGGUCCCGGUGAGUAGGAGGGUCGCGACGGUGAGCGCAGAAGGGUCUGGGCGUGAGCCUGCCUGGAGCCGCCGUCGGUGCAGAUCUUGGUGGUAGUAGCAAAUACUCCAGCGAGGGCCUGGAGGACUGAUGUGGAGAAGGGUUCCGUGUGAACAGCCGUUGCACACGGGUCAGUCGAUCCUAAGCCCUAGGCGAAAGCCGAUGACGAUGGUCGCGGGAUGUCGCGAGUAAGCACAAUUUGGCAGCGUGAUGGUCUUGUCUCCUCUUCUUCCCUCCGAAUGACCGGGUGACGCCGCAUACGGAGGUGCAGGCAAGAGGUAGAAAGUGCCGCUCGCUCAUGCCAGUUGUGUCGCUUCAGAACCCCGUCCAUUGGGCGAAAGGGAAUCCGGUUCCUAUUCCGGAACCCGGUUGCGGGACCGUCUCUCGAUCCUCGUAUUGACGCGGUAACGCUAAAGACCCUAGAGAUGCCGUCUGGAGCCCCGGGAAGAGUUUUCUUUUCUGUUUGAGCGUUCGGGUUCCAUGGAAUCCUCUCGUAGGGAGAUAUGGAAUGGAGCGCGAAGAGCACCGCAGUUGCUGCGGUGUCCGGGGAGUCCCGUCGGCCCUUGAAAAUCUAGGUGAGGGUCACGUGGAGGCGCCGCACCGGUUCGUACCCAUAUCCGCAGCAGGUCUCCGAGU